GAAUACCUUCGGGUAGGAAGAUAAAAGCGCGAGCGGCGGAUGGGUGAGUAACACGUGGGCAACCUGCCCUUUAGCUUGGGAUACCACUUGGAAACAGGUGCUAAUACCAAAUAAGAAGCAAGAGCGCAUGCUCAAGCUAUGAAAGGCGGCUUUCGAGCUGUCACUAAAGGAUGGGCCCGCGGUGCAUUAGCUAGUUGGUAAGGUAACGGCUUACCAAGGCCAUGAUGCAUAGCCGAGUUGAGAGACUGAUCGGCCACAUUGGGACUGAGACACGGCCCAAACUCCUACGGGAGGCAGCAGUAGGGAAUCUUCCACAAUGGACGCAAGUCUGAUGGAGCAACGCCGCGUGAGUGAAGAAGGUUUUCGGAUCGUAAAGCUCUGUUGUUGGUGAAGAAGGAU
Molecule: ribosomal RNA, 399 nt
Filed under: Lactobacillus sp.
Lineage: Bacteria; Bacillati; Bacillota; Bacilli; Lactobacillales; Lactobacillaceae
Description: bacterial SSU rRNA
Rfam family: Bacterial small subunit ribosomal RNA
Source: RNAcentral